RNAcentral lists this ribosomal RNA (467 nucleotides) under uncultured bacterium. Its description in RNAcentral is "partial 16S ribosomal RNA". It matches the Rfam family "Bacterial small subunit ribosomal RNA", at positions 29 to 507 of the family's 1533-position model. The record is from RNAcentral.
ACGAACGCUGGCGGCGUGCUUAACACCUGCAAGUCGCACGGAAAGGCCCUGCUUUUGUGGGGUGCUCGAGUGGUGAACGGGUGAGUAACACGUGAGUAACCUGCCCUUGACUUUGGGAUAACUUCAGGAAACUGGGGCUAAUACCGGAUAGGAGCUCCUGCUGCAUGGUGGGGGUUGGAAAGUUUCGGCGGUUGGGGAUGGACUCGCGGCUUAUCAGCUUGUUGGUGGGGUAGUGGCUUACCAAGGCUUUGACGGGUAGCCGGCCUGAGAGGGUGACCGGCCACAUUGGGACUGAGAUACGGCCCAGACUCCUACGGGAGGCAGCAGUGGGGAAUAUUGCACAAUGGGCGGAAGCCUGAUGCAGCAACGCCGCGUGCGGGAUGACGGCCUUCGGGUUGUAAACCGCUUUCGCCUGUGACGAAGCGUGAGUGACGGUAAUGGGUAAAGAAGCACCGGCUAACUACGUG